UGGGGAAUUUUGGACAAUGGGCGCAAGCCUGAUCCAGCAAUGCCGCGUGAGUGAAGAAGGCCUUCGGGUUGUAAAGCUCUUUUGUCAGGGAAGAAACGGCUGAGGCUAAUACCUUUGGCUAAUGACGGUACCUGAAGAAUAAGCACCGGCUAACUACGUGCCAGCAGCCGCGGUAAUACGUAGGGUGCAAGCGUUAAUCGGAAUUACUGGGCGUAAAGCGUGCGCAGGCGGUUUUGUAAGUCUGUCGUGAAAGCCCCGGGCUCAACCUGGGAAUUGCGAUGGAGACUGCAAGGCUUGAAUCUGGCAGAGGGGGGUAGAAUUCCACGUGUAGCAGUGAAAUGCGUAGAGAUGUGGAGGAACACCGAUGGCGAAGGCAGCCCCCUGGGUCAAGAUUGACGCUCAUGCACGAAAGCGUGGGGAGCAAACAGG
Molecule: ribosomal RNA, 429 nt
Filed under: uncultured bacterium
Lineage: Bacteria
Description: bacterial SSU rRNA
Rfam family: Bacterial small subunit ribosomal RNA
Source: RNAcentral